GCCCAUUCUGAGGUCCUAGGGGUGAGGACUUCAUCACAUCUUUUUGAGCACCAUAGUUCAACCCACAGUACAUGGUUAGGGCUCCUCCAGGGCCUUGCACAGGGCUGUGCCAGUGAGGGGCUCUGAAGCUUAAGCUUCCUGAGCAUCACAACCCCUCUCCCCAGGCUUAGACCAGAGAAUGGCCUGGUGAUGGUGGGUGUACCACCCCAGGAGGCACAGCAGACCCCUCAGUGCCCUCCUGCCCACUCUGGAGGUUCCCCUUCCGCUUUGUGCAGAAGCCUUCCUGGGUCUCUUUGCCUAAGGGCUUCCCCUGUCCCCCACCCCCAGCAGACUAGAAGUGUCCCCAGGAGAAACCGUCAACCACAGAGGGCCAGGGAUUGGUGAAUGUACGCCUCAGCUUCCUCCCGCCUCAGAGGGACUUAAAAAAUCUUUCGUGGCUAACGCAGAUGCAGAAGAACGCUCCGAGCAAACGCAGGGCUUCACGGAUUACUCCACGGGCCGUACCCACGGCGGGACUGUUCCGUGGAAGCUCCACCCAGCCGCUCAGGGGUCGCAGUCGCACACAGCGGUUGCCUCUGACUUCCUCUGUGACCUGUUUGCCUCCCCGUGCUCCUGGGAUCACCUCCCAAAUAAGCUGCUUGUCCCCAGGUUCUUGUCUCAGGGUGAGCUUUUGGUGAAACUCAGAAUCAGGUGGUUGGCGAGGACAGGCAUCUUUAGAGGUGGCAUUUGAGGUGAGACCUGAGCACCGAGAAGGAACUGGCGGUGCCGAGAUCUGUGUCCCAGGCGGAGGGAACCGAGGCGGCCCUGAGGCAGAGUGGCCCUGCGUGUGGCUGGAACGCAGCGAGUGAGAGGGGGAGCCUGAGCAGGGCCUGGGAGAGGCAAGCAGAAGCCAGAUCUCAGAGGGCCAGCAGUCUGGGUCCGUGUGCGCAGGCGCACGGCUGUGAGGCGUGUGGGAGGUGAGGAGACUAGAGGUCUCUCCUCUUUCUUUCUUCUCUUUCCACUUCCCCCCGCACACACCUGACACAUCCACACACUCACACACAUUCACAGGAGGUUGAGUUUUUUUAGGAUUUUUUUUUUUAAUUUUAAUUUUUUUCCUUUUUCUCCCCAAAGCCCCCCGGUACAUAGUUGUAUAUUCUUCACUGUGGGUCCUUCUAGUUGUGGCAUGUGGGACGCUGCCUCAGCGUGGUUUGAUGAGCAGUGUCAUGUCCGCGCCCAGGAUUCGAACCAAGGAAACACUGGGCCACCUGCAGCGGAGCGCGCGAACUUAACCCCUCGGCCACGGGGCCAGCCCCACAGGAGGUUGAGUUUUGAAAACCUAAUUUCAUGUGGCCAUUCCAGUCCCACAGCACGUAUCUAUUCAGAUCAGCGCUGUCCCAAUGACCAAUGGCAACACCUUGAGGUUCCCAGUGGCAGUAGUAACCAUCACAACUGAGACCCACACUGCAACAGUGCCUUUAAGAUAUGAGCUCCACAAACCAUCCCAGCCGCCUGGAGAGCCAGAGGAACCCUCAGGACAGCCAAGUCCAAAUGGGUCGGGAGCAACGUCACGGUUUUCUCUAGUAGUGCAGCCAUCAGCCUGAGCUGGUUGCAGAGAUGGCUCAUUGCCUCAUUAGCUGCUUCCCCCUGGCAUGUGGGAAGAUGAUGGGGACGUGGACGAGCCCAGCCCUCACUGAAGACCAUCCUUCCAAUUCUGGCUGUCUGUGCUGGAGCAUUCAGACACCCCAGGAUUCCCAGCUGAUGGCAGUGCGGCCCAACGCCCUCCUUUCACACAUGAGCAAACAGAGAACCAGGCUCAUCCGACAAGCCAUGUGGAGCACGGUCAAGAGUUUUGGUUCUGGAGUCACACAUUCUGAAUUUCAGAUGCUGUCUCUGCAAGCGACCAUGAUCUUGGGUCAGUUACUCAGUCUCUCUCAGCCUUACUCUCAUCUACAAGUUAAAGAUAUUGAUAGUGCUAUCUACGUCAUAGAAGUGUUGAGAAUUAAAUAAGACAAUGCAUGUAAAAACCUCAGCACAGAGCUCAGUGAAAAGAUUCUCAAUAAACG
Molecule: long non-coding RNA, 2045 nt
Organism: Equus caballus (horse)
Lineage: Eukaryota; Metazoa; Chordata; Mammalia; Perissodactyla; Equidae
Source: Ensembl